Long non-coding RNA from Dreissena polymorpha, 6417 nucleotides. RefSeq lists it as uncharacterized. Lineage: Eukaryota; Metazoa; Mollusca; Bivalvia; Myida; Dreissenidae. The record is from RefSeq and is a predicted model, not a curated record. The transcript has 6 exons.
UUGUAGAAAAUAUAUCUGAACUCAGAAUCGUCUAUAAAGUACAACUUCUUUAAAACAUAAGCGAUCAAUAUGUUUCAAUAAUGGUCCUCUUCCACUUAGAGUAUGACUAUAUUACCUUGACCUUAUUGAAUAUGAACAAUUUCCCCCUGAUGGAUUACGUUAUACUGUCAAGCACUCGAAUAGCCGAGCGUGCUGUCCUCUGACAGCUCUUGUUUGUGUAGAGGUCUAUUAAAAACUGAUAAAAUUCCGGGAUUUUCUAGAUUUUCUGGUUCCUACAGGACCCCAUACAAUACACAUCUUUACACAGCUGAACAACAACAGGCCUUCUGGUCAGUUGGGCCCCCACAUCCAAGGACAAUGCCUUGGUAAAGGUGUCAAGCUCUUGGGUCAGGAAUUUUGGGUAAAGCUCCUACCCCCAGGGUACAGCCAGUCUAUCCAUGGGACUCCAAACUUCCCUGCUCAGGGACCAAGACUACCUCAUCUACAAGAAUGUUCGUCAUGACAAUAUCUAAGCAAAGUUCAAAAUUGAAUUCCGAUCUUGCACCAGGUCGAGUCUUCUACCAACGUUUAACGUUUAACUCAGGUCCGUGAGUCUCUUGUGUAACAACCGAAGCUAAAGAUGAAGGGCCACAGAGAGAAAUAGAGGUCACAACAGUAAGACAUGCAGAUAUUGCUGCUUCAGUCUCAAUAGCAACAUCAGCAGCAGCAGCAAUAGCAAAAGCAGCAACAACACCCACAAUUCAACAAUCAACAGUGCCAUUGCUGAGCUCUUUCAAAUGUCGAGGAUCACCAAAAACCACUCGGUGCCAAGCAAUGAAAUUAUCAGCUGCCACCUUGACCUGACUAUUGUACACACCUGGGAGUCAGGUUUAAGGUCACAUCAGCUUAAAUGUUCACGGCAGUAAGAAAAUGUAAGAUCUUAAAGGGACUUGUUCACAGAUUGUGUGGGUAAGUUGACAGACCUCAUUUGCAUUACUAAAAAAAUGGCAACAAUUUUAAAUGAAUAAACAUAAUUCUACAACUUAUACCAAUAUAUUGCGGUACAUAGUGUAUAGUAUCGCAAUAUGCUUUUACUGCCUUGAAUACAAAUAUAAAUUACCCCAGUUUGGAAUCCAAAUAAAGGCAGUUUUUUUUAUUUUACGUCCUUAAUUUUUAUUAUUAUAGUUAUUUUAGGUUAUUCCAUAAACUGUAUUUUAUUGGUUUUAAUAAUGUUUGUAAAAAUAUAUUGAGAACUCGAUGACGACUAUAUCUUAAAACAAAAUGACUGCAGAACAGGUCUUAAACAUUUUCCUUUAAAUAUGUCACUAUCUUUCUCAGUAAACACGUCUGCAGAAAGAAUAACCUCUUUCCCUUUAAAGAAAUCUCAAUAUGUUUUUUACUGCAAACGGAUUUAUUACAGAACUGGAAUCUAUCUUUGAACAUUUUCCUGCAGUAUUCUCCGUCAUUUGCAGUUAACAAGAUGACUGAACAACAUGGCAUCAAUGGCAAGGAAGAAGUGAUCAGGGGGGGUAAUCACGUGCAAAUCAAGAUGGCGACGUCCAUGCCAAGACUGCGUAGAGUCUGCUCGGGAAGCAUUUGCACACAAGGCACAAACAUCAGCUGCAAUAAUCGUCUUGAUAUUCUGUCAUCGCCAUGGUGCACGACCCUCAGUCUAUGAACAUAGAGAACCUUGGACACCCAUGGAAGAAAGACAACUGGCCAAUCAGAAUUACAGCCUGUUGCAGCAGUUGUUACCAUAUUUUCCUCAGUCAAACCUGAGAAGCUCAGAGAUAUAUACUGUUUAAGAUGUGCUAGACUCUACAUACCUCCUGGUAUGUUCAGCACUUACUCUGACAGGUUUUAUCUUUGACUUUUGUGACGGAUGGAAAAUAAAUGAGCUUGUUCACAUCGAAAUGGCAGAAUGACAUAUCACAACAAUUGAAGUGGAAAGCCAGAAAGUCAUGUGGACAGCCACGUUUUGUAUGUGACCAGCCAAGUUGUAUUCAAAGGAAAACACAAGUAUAUGUUUUAUGGGAAUUAUGAUACUGUCAGUCAUUUUAUGUUGAAAGUUUUGGUGAAAUAUAGUAUGUACAUUAUUAUCAUAAGCACACAUAUAACAAGUCUAUCCAAUGUCUUUGUCUGUAUUAUGAAACUUUCACUACAGACUUUGAUCCUGAUAAUGAUAACAUUUUAUUUAAAGAUUGUCAAAGCUGUUUAAAUGAUGGUGGUAAAUUGGAUAAAAUUGAGAAAAUAUUUAAGUAUUUUCCUGUAAUGAAACAUGUUCAUGUUUUCUGUUUUUACCAGUAAUAUAGAUGUGCUACUUAAACAAAUUCUUCAGAAAGGCUGAGAGUUAUGAAAUAUCGGAAUUGUCUGUCUAUCAAUCUUUCUGAAACAAUAUAAGUCGAUUGGCUCACCCGGGUCAGUAUUCGAUCAAGAAUCUUGUUUAGUAGCAUAAUAUUUCAUCGGAAUACAUGUAUAAAUAAAUUCUGGGAAAAAUCAUUUAAUGUACCUAACAUAAUUGAUUCUGUAUUUACUAUCAGUACUUGGUUGAUUUCAAUGCCUGUGGUUUAUUAAAUGAUAAGAGCAUGACUCUUGUGUUAUUGGGAAAGCUUUUCAUGUAAAUGAGAAUUAAACAAAGAUGAAAGUAUUUUAUGAAAAAUGGCAAAAGUUAUGAUUGUUAGUUUGUGUUGUUAUAUCAUAGACUUACAUGCUGGUAAGUUUUAAAGUUUGUUUUUGGACAUAUUAGUUUAUAAUGCCAUAUAUUUGUAUAUGCACAUUUAGACAACCCUCUUAAAUCAGUGAGUACACAUGUAACUUAACAAAGAUUUCUGAUCACUGUAUAUAGGUAUGUUUUGCCAUGUAUACAUAGAGCAACUGCGAAACAAUUGUAUGUUCAGUGUAAACUGUUUAUUUAAUGUUGCCAUUUUUAUAAGAUAAACUCACUGUUUACAUUUAUUUGUACGAACAAUUGUUCUAAAACAACAUUUCUUGUGUAAAUGCUCAUAUACGUAUUAAACUGUUUAAAUAAUGCAGCAUGACAUAUUUUGAAGAGAAAAAGAUAGUUAAGGCAAUAUAAACACCUUGUUAUAUGCAAUGUUUUUCAUCGAAUGAAUUUUAGCAACUAUUUAAAAUGUAUUUUUUUACAUAAACUAAAGAAAAAAUAAUACCUUGAAAUUUGAAUUAAAAUUAAGGGAGAGUGAUGUCAUAUGCUAACAAUUGCCAAGAAUUGCAAUGGCCUCUAUUGGCAAUAUAAGCGAGUACUAUUGUUUGCAAAAGAUAUCUAUUUUGUUAAAUAAUAAUUGUGUUUUACAACUCUACAUAACAAGUAAAUACAUUUCUAAUUAUUUCGCACUAUAUACUCGGCUAUAGGUGAAUGUCUAAAAGGGUUUUGUGGAAUAAACACUUUAGAAAAUAUAUGCUUGUUUCAGGAAGUAAUAGUUUAGGUAAAAUGUGAUACUUAUUGUUACAUAAACACCAAGUGUAAUAACAAAAUGCAUCAGUAAUGACUUUAUUUGAAAAAUUACAUUUGCAUGAUCACACAAUGUGUAAAGUUGUGUAAAUGUGACGUUUAUGAAAUGUGUAUAUUUCAACAAUAAUAUUAUACUUGUAUUUAAAGUACUUGAUAAGUAUUGACGUAGAUCUACUGCUAUUAGAGAAUUGUGUCAUUUAACUAGUUUUGUUACAGUUUGUGUAACGUUGACCAGUCAACAUAGCUGUCAGUGGAGUGAAUUCACUGGGGUUCAAUUUCCGUAAUUCUUCCAGUUUAAAACUUCAGCAUACACGUAUGUCUUAAAUCCAGAUUUCCCUAAAAUUGUGGUUGUUUAUAUUGAACUUUUAUUGAAUGCAUGUGACAUGUUUGUUCUUUUGUUGAACGACUGAAAAUGACUAUAUGUAUAAAUUGUGUGUCAUGUUUAGAUAUAUCAAAUUGAUAAAUAGAAAACAAAAUACAAAAUUUGCAAUAAUUUGUAUGCAUGCUUAGCCCCCAAAAAUGUUAUCAAACAAGCUUAUUGGUAUUGGACUAUGUUUGUAAUUUAAGAUUAAAUGCUUCAAUCAUGUGUGAUUUUUUUCAUUUACGUUAAAUAAACAUUUUUCAUUAGUAGAUAUAGGAUGUAUAAACUCUUAUGUAGACUUCUUUUUAAUUGCUUUUGUAAAUAUCUUCAAUAUUUGACAUUACUGUUAAGGGUAUUUUUAGCUCGGUUGUUUUCGGAAAAAAACCGAGGUACAUGUAUUGUCAUAGUUGUGUCGUCUGACGUCCGCUUCGUGCUAAAACCUUUAAAUUUUGCUCUAAAAUUAAAGUGCUUCCACCUAAAACUUUGAAACUUCAUAUGUAGAUGCACAUUGAUGAGUUCUACACGCCACACCUAUUUUGCGGUCACUAGGUCAAAGGUCAAGGUUGCAGUGACCUCUUGAAAAAAACUAAUUCGUACAAACUUUCAUUCAUUCAAAACUGCACCCGCAUCCGAGCGUGGCACCCAUUAUUGGGUGCGGCACCCAUUAUUGGGUGCUCUUGUUAUAGUAAACAUGUACAUGUUUCUCUAAACUGUAAACGGGUGUCUGUUUAAGUUAUUGUGAUUUGUUAAUUUUGUAUUGCUAAUUAAAUGAAAUAUUGUGUAUAGUCUCGCAUUGUUGUUGUUAUAAGACAAAGCACAUUCCCUUACUCAUGUUUAUUUUCAUGUUUAUUUUCGUCCACUAUUUCUAUAACCAGUGUUUUGUCUGUAGAAGUUACAAUAUACUUAAUAUUGCAGUUGUGCAAUGCAAUAUGCUUUACUUUCUAAAUAAAUCAACACCAUUUAUUGGUUGACAUAAUUUCAUGUAUGGGCACUUACCACCCCUACCAAGUUACUCCCAGGACGGCUAGAUUUAAGCCAUCAGCUUAUCAGCAGAACUAAUUAGUGUUAACUGUUCUGUGGUCAUAAAGCACACUCCCCUGUCAGGAUGACAACAACCUACUUGGCGAUAAUAAAUGAACCCAGGUGUUAUAUUUGGAAAAUUCAUGUUGACGACAUUUUGGUAUUUUAAGACCAGUUCAACACUCCACUAGCAAAUAUCAUGCUGGAUACCCAUGUUGAUAAUUCUUGUAAAGUCGAUUGUUAAAAAAUUUGUUUUUUAAUUUACUGAUUAGUAACAUAGUUACCCGGUAUGUAUAUUAUGUGAACAUUUGUUAUGUGAAUUACAAAGGUGAAGUAUUUGGAGUAAAAGUUUAUGUUUUUUCCAUGAAAUUUCCUUGCUAGAAAAGUUUGGGUUACAAUCAUGACAGUACUAAAUAUACAUGUAUAUAGCAGCUUAUCAUUCUAUAAAAAUUAUAAAUUUCUAUUAUAAAUUGACAAGAAUUCUAUAAAAUUUAUGUGCCAUACUAUUUAUGCUAUUUCAACUUAUUUAUAUGAACAUUUAUAGCUGUACAUUGAAAUAAGGAAUAUUCAAUUGUUUACUUCUGAAUAAUUUGAUAAUAUAUAUCAUAAUUAUAAUUAUGCUCUGAGAUCAAUGUAUACUGUUCGCAUACACUUGGAGACUUUUCUAACGCAUCACCUAAUCAGAUCAAUAUAUAUCUCCCUUAAAUUUGAACGGCUUGUGUUUAGACCAAGAAUAAUUCAACACAUCUCUGAUUAUUCCUGAAAAUUUAAUUGAAAUUGAAAAACAACAAAAUCUAAAACUUAACAAAUUAAAUACGUCACUUCAAAGUCAAUUUCGCAAACUCGUACAACUUUAAAUAAUAACAAUGUGAAAAGUAAAACGCAAAAACUUACACGUAUUAAUAACUGACCGGCUUGCAACAUGCAGAUUGAGCCGUUUCACUCCUGAAUAUUCAUACGAGCCAUAUUGUUUUCUUUAAUUGAUGUUAUGUUUUUCAUGUGUAAAAACUUACCUAGAAUUAUGACAUUGAAAUCAAAUUGGAAUAACAUGUAUAUCGCCUUUUACUACACUUGGUGAUUUUUCUAACGCAACACUUUUAAAUCUUACAUAUCUCAGUAAUGAGUAAAUAUUUUUAUUUAAAAUUGCAUAUGUGGUCAUUUGACUACAAUAUGUGCAAGCUAACUAUAAAAUCAUUCAUCCGUGACGAUCGGACGCUUUAGCAAGUGGUAAAGGUAGCCUGUAAAAUGCAAAGUGGGCGAUUGCGCUCCUGAAUAUUCAUACAAGUUAUAUUGUUUUGUAAAUUAAUUCUAUGUUUUCCUUGUGUAAGAAUCCACUUAAAUUAAUUCAAUUGAAAUAAAACAAGAAUUAAAUCGCGUUUCACCAUUUCCACGUGCAAAAAUAUGGAACCACACCUACCCCACGUGCCAAAGCGUCCAUUCGUCACGGAUGAAUGAUUUUAUCGUGAGCUUGCGUAGACUAUUUAGUCAAAUGAUUGUAAAAAUUUGAAUCAAUAUCUUUACUCAUAACUUAGAUAUUCAAGUUUGAAAAGUGAUGCGUUAAAAAAGUCCCCAAGUGUGUAUAUAUAUA